GAACGCUGGCGGCAGGCCUAACACAUGCAAGUCGAGGCGGGGUUUUCGGACCUAGCGGCGGACGGGUGAGUAAUGCGUAGGAAGCUACCCGAUAGAGGGGGAUACCAGUUGGAAACGACUGUUAAUACCGCAUAAUGUCUACGGACCAAAGUGUGGGACCUUCGGGCCACAUGCUAUCGGAUGCGCCUACGUGGGAUUAGCUAGUUGGUGAGGUAAUGGCUCACCAAGGCGACGAUCUCUAGCUGGUUUGAGAGGAUGAUCAGCCACACUGGAACUGAGACACGGUCCAGACUCCUACGGGAGGCAGCAGUGGGGAAUAUUGGACAAUGGGCGCAAGCCUGAUCCAGCCAUGCCGCGUGUGUGAAGAAGGCCUUCGGGUUGUAAAGCACUUUCAGCGAGGAGGAAGAGUUGUGUGUUAAUAGUACACAGCUUUGACGUUACUCGCAGAAGAAGCACCGGCUAACUCUGUG
Molecule: ribosomal RNA, 470 nt
Filed under: uncultured bacterium
Lineage: Bacteria
Description: bacterial SSU rRNA
Rfam family: Bacterial small subunit ribosomal RNA
Source: RNAcentral